ACGGGAGGCAGCAGUGGGGAAUAUUGCACAAUGGGGGAAACCCUGAUGCAGCAACGCCGCGUGAAGGAUGAAGGCCCUUGGGUCGUAAACUUCUGUUCUAAGGGAAGAUAAUGACGGUACCUUAGGAGCAAGUCCCGGCUAACUACGUGCCAGCAGCCGCGGUAAUACGUAGGGGGCAAGCGUUAUCCGGAAUUAUUGGGCGUAAAGAGUACGUAGGCGGUUAUCUAAGCAUGGGGUUUAAGGCACUGGCUUAACCAAUGUUCGCCCCAUGAACUGGACUACUUGAGUGCAGGAGAGGAAAGCGGAAUUCCUAGUGUAGCGGUGAAAUGCGUAGAUAUUAGGAGGAACACCAGUGGCGAAGGCGGCUUUCUGGACUGUAACUGACGCUGAGGUACGAAAGUGUGGGGAGCAAACAGGAUUAGAUACCCUGGUA
This 433-nucleotide ribosomal RNA is filed under the name uncultured bacterium. Its description in RNAcentral is "partial 16S ribosomal RNA". It matches the Rfam family "Bacterial small subunit ribosomal RNA", at positions 341 to 792 of the family's 1533-position model. The record is from RNAcentral. RNAcentral also lists the same sequence under 1 other name.